ACAUGUCUUUUUAGAAUUUAAUAUAAAGUCUGGCCUGCCCACUGAAUAAUAUUUGAAGGGCCGCAGUAUUUUGACUGUGCAAAGGUAGCAUAAUCAUUAGUCUUUUAAUUGGGGGCUGGUAUGAAUGGUCGGAUGAGAUAUAAGCUGUGUCAAAAAAAUUAUUAUUUGAAUUUAACUUUUUAGUCAAAAGGCUAAAAUAAAUUUAAAAGACGAGAAGACCCUAUAGAGCUUUAUAUAAUAAGUAUUUAAAUUAUUAAGAUUUAUUAAAUUUAAUUUUUAUAUUGUAUUUUGUUGGGGUGACAAUAAAAUUUAUUAAACUUUUAUUUUUAUUUAACAUUAAUUUAUGAUUAUAUGAUCCAAUUUUAUUGAUUAUAAAUUUAAGUUACCUUAGGGAUAACAGCGUAAUUUUUUUUGAGAGUUCUUAUCGACAAAAAAGAUUGCGACCUCGAUGUUGGAUUAAGAGUAAUUUUGGGUGUAGAAGUUCAAAAUUUAAGUCUGUUCGACUUUUAAAUUCUUACAUGAUC
Molecule: ribosomal RNA, 524 nt
Filed under: Simulium brinchangense
Lineage: Eukaryota; Metazoa; Arthropoda; Insecta; Diptera; Simuliidae
Description: partial 16S ribosomal RNA
Rfam family: Bacterial large subunit ribosomal RNA
Source: RNAcentral